UACAGAGGGUGCAAGCGUUGUUCGGAAUUAUUGGGCGUAAAGCGCGUGUAGGCGGCUUUGUAAGUCGGGUGUAAAAGCCCUCAGCUCAACUGAGGAAGGGCGCCCGAAACUGCGAGGCUCGAGUACCGGAGAGGAUGGCGGAAUGCCCCAAGUAGAGGUGAAAUUCGUAGAUAUGCGGCGGAACACCGAUGGCGAAGGCAGCCCCCUGGGCUGAGAUUGACGCUCAGGCACGAAAGCGUGGGGAGCAAACAGG
RNAcentral lists this ribosomal RNA (253 nucleotides) under uncultured bacterium. RNAcentral describes it as "partial 16S ribosomal RNA". It matches the Rfam family "Bacterial small subunit ribosomal RNA", at positions 524 to 776 of the family's 1533-position model. The record is from RNAcentral.